GAUGAACGCUGGCGGCGUGCCUAACACAUGCAAGUCGAACGAACACACGGGGAGCUUGCUCCCCUGACGGUGGCGGCGGACGGGUGAGUAACACGUGGAUCGCCUACCUCUAAGACUGGGAUGACAACGGGAGACCAGAUCUACUACCGGAGAAUAUAUCGAACCGCAUGGUGCAAGAGUUAAUGACGGUUUUGGUGACACUAAUAGCCGGUGCCGCGCUGCAUGAGCUGGUUGGUAAGGUACCGGCUUACCAAGGCAACGAUGCGUAUCCGACCUGAGAGGGGGGUCGGCCACACUGUAACAGAGGCACGGUCGCGACACCGACGGGAGGCAGCAGCAGGGAAUCUUACGCGAGGGGGGAAAGCCUGACGGAGGAACGCCGCGUGAGGGAUGAAGGUCUUCGGAUCGUAAAACUCUGUUAUUAGGAGAGAACAAAUGUGUAAGUAACCAUGCACAUCUUGACGGUACCUAAUGAGAAAGCCACGGCUAACUACGUG
Molecule: ribosomal RNA, 497 nt
Filed under: uncultured bacterium
Lineage: Bacteria
Description: partial 16S ribosomal RNA
Rfam family: Bacterial small subunit ribosomal RNA
Source: RNAcentral